GUCUUUGUAGCUCAGUUGGUUGAGCGCUUCUUCAUGAUGGGAACUAUCUGCGUGAGCUUGUAGGAAGUGGCGUGGGGUCGACUCCCACUGAAGACA
Non-coding RNA from Mycena epipterygia, 96 nucleotides. The record is from the annotation of a GenBank genome assembly. Lineage: Eukaryota; Fungi; Basidiomycota; Agaricomycetes; Agaricales; Mycenaceae.